AAGACUAUAGACCUGCGGAGUACCUGCGGAAGGAUCAUUAAUGAAAUCAUAUUCUCCUUUGGAGUUUCUUCUAGCUGAUGCGUCUUUUGGCUGCACGCUGUUGUCACUCUUUAGGGGUUAUAUUUCCACAAACCCUUCUGUGCAUAUUGGGAGGCUUUAUUGUCCUCUCCUAAUUCAUAUACUCUAAUGUUUAAUCAUGUCAUACAAUGUUAAAUACAUUAAACAACUUUCAACAAUGGA
Molecule: unclassified non-coding RNA, 240 nt
Filed under: soil metagenome
Description: partial contains 5.8S ribosomal RNA, internal transcribed spacer 2, and large subunit ribosomal RNA
Source: RNAcentral